Molecule: ribosomal RNA, 497 nt
Filed under: uncultured bacterium
Lineage: Bacteria
Description: partial 16S ribosomal RNA
Rfam family: Bacterial small subunit ribosomal RNA
Source: RNAcentral
GAUGAACGCUGGCGGCGUGCCUAAUACAUGCAAGUCGAGCGAACAGACGAGGAGCUUGCUCCUCUGACGUUAGCGGCGGACGGGUGAGUAACACGUGGAUAACCUACCUAUAAGACUGGGAUCACUUCGGGAAACCGGAGCUAAUACCGGAUAAUAUAUUGAACCGCAUGGUUCAAUAGUGAAAGACGGUUUUGCUGGCACUUAUAGAUGGUUCCGCGCCGCAUUAGCUAGUUGGUAAGGUAACGGCUUACCAAGGCAACGAUGCGUAGCCGACCUGAGAGGGUGGUCGGCCACACGGGAACUGAGACACGGUCCAGACGCCUACGGGAGGCAGCAGUAGGGAAUGUGCCGCAAUGGGCGAAAGCCUGACGGAGCAGCGCCGCGUGAGUGAUGAAGGUCUUCGGAUCGUAAAACUCUGUUAUUAGGGAAGAACAAAUGUGUAAGUAACUGUGCACGUCGUGACGGUACCUGAUCAGAAAGCAACGGCUAACUACGUG